RNAcentral lists this ribosomal RNA (468 nucleotides) under uncultured bacterium. Its description in RNAcentral is "partial 16S ribosomal RNA". It matches the Rfam family "Bacterial small subunit ribosomal RNA", at positions 28 to 507 of the family's 1533-position model. The record is from RNAcentral.
GACGAACGCUGGCGGCGUGCCUAACACAUGCAAGUCGAACGGACAGGCCCUGCUUUUGUGGGGUGCUCGUGAGGCGCACGGGUGAGUAACACGUGAGUAUACUGCCCUUGACUUUGGGAUAACUUCACGAAACUGGGGCUCAUAUCGGAUAGGAGCUCCUGCUGCAUGGUGGGGGUUGGUAAGUUUCGGCGGUUGGGGAUGGACUCGCGGCUUAUCAGCUUGUUGGUGGAGUAGUGGCUUACCAAGGCUUUGACGGGUAGCCGGCCUGAGAGGGUGAACGGGGACAAUGGGACUAAGAGACGGCGCAGACGCGUACGGGACGCGGCGGUGGGAAAUAUUGCACAAUGGGCGGAAGCGUGAUACAGCAGCGCUGCGAGCGUGAUGACGGCCUACGGGGUGAAAACCGCUGUCGCCGGUGACGAAGCGUGAGUGACGGUAAUUGGUAAGGAAGCACCGGCUAACUACGUG